This 433-nucleotide ribosomal RNA is filed under the name uncultured bacterium. RNAcentral's name for it is "partial 16S ribosomal RNA". It matches the Rfam family "Bacterial small subunit ribosomal RNA", at positions 29 to 507 of the family's 1533-position model. The record is from RNAcentral.
AACGAACGCUGGCGGCAGGCCUAACACAUGCAAGUCGAGCGGACCUUUCGGGGUCAGCGGCGGACGGGUGAGUAACGCGUGGGAAUAUGCCCUUCUCUACGGAAUAGUCCUGGGAAACUGGGGGUAAUACCGUAUACGCCCUUUGGGGGAAAGAUUUAUCGGGGAAGGAUUAGCCCGCGUUGGAUUAGGUAGUUGGUGGGGUAAUGGCCUACCAAGCGGACGAUCCAUAGCUGGUUGGAGAGGAUGAUCAGCCACACUGGGACUGAGACACGGCCCAGACUCCUACGGGAAGCAGCAGUGGGGAAUCUUAGACAAUGGGGGCAAACCUGAUAUAGCCAUGCCGCGUGAGUGAUGAAGGCCUUAGGGUUGUAAAGCUCUUUCAGCUGGGAAGAUAAUGACGGUACCAGCAGAAGAAGCCCCGGCUAACUCCGUG